ACCAUGGAUGAAAAUUGUUUUAGAAGGGAUUAUAGUUUAUAAUUAAUAAUGGUUUUGCCAUUCCAACAAAGUAACAACUAUUGACCGAGUAUUUAUUUUUUGACGUGGGCUUGACCUUCUGAUAAAAGUUUGAUGUCAUCCUCAUUUUGAAAUAAACAUAUGUAGGCCUAAUAACGAUCAAUGAAAGUAAUAUUUUAAUGCAGCGUUAUUAGAAUGUUCAACAGUUUACAAUGAAAAGUAAAAGUGUUUGUGCAUUUGGAUUUUGUUUACGUAGUUUCUUUGGAUCUGAGGGCGAGAGGAAAUCCUGAGGCACUUUAAAUAGGCCUAGCCUAAAGCUGAGAGGAAUCAAAAGCAUUUUCAGUAUCAGCGUGGAUAUGUACAACCUCCGGAGUGAUCUUUGACUUCCACUCUAAUAAAGACGUCGGUGAGAUAGUGAGCUUGAGAACUCGGGAUUUCCCAGUAAGCAGACAGAGUUGUCACAGACGCCUGGUAAUCAAUGUCCUCCUGACAUCGUUUACGAUUGUCCUAAAAUUACAUUAUAUACAUGUAUCUAAACAUGCAGAUAUCGGUAAUCACACUGAAAUAGGACUUUGAAUAUCAAUGUUCCAGAUUGUUUGUGUUAAUAGAUACAUCUCAACUUACCAUAUCGUGAUGAGUGAACACAGUCACAUUGUUGUCGACUGAAACAAGAAAUAUUUCAUACCGGUAAAUCUAUUGCAACGAACCACUGAUGCGUUCACAAUUCCACUGAUUUGUCAUCUAUAGCUUACCAGCCAUGGUACAGUUGGACCCAUCAUAGACAGUGAUGGUGGUUAACGCUGUAUUUUCCAGUACAACUGUCACUCCAUCCGACGUCACGGUCACGUCUUGGUACGCCGUGGAGGCUGUUAUACUCACGUAGUAUGUCUGAGCAGAAAAAUCAAAGACGGACUGUUUUUAUCUUGCCAUUUACCGAGGCUUUUGGUUAUAACCCUUUCAAGCCAUACUAAUUCUCUUGAAAUUUGCCAAAAAACGUAAGAUAAUGCCGCAUGGCAUAUAUCACCUCUGAAUGAAAGCAAUAAAGUGAAGGAUUGACUUCAAAUCUAACAGGAGAUAAAAGGAAGAAAAAGGUGGAGGACGCUUAAAAUCAUGAAAAAAGAUAAACACAUUUUCAGCAACGUAGAUACCUAGUUGUUUGCAUUCACGAUAGCAAAUAAAUGAUUGAUUGAUUGAUUGAUUGAAUGUUGUUUAACGUCCCUCUCGAGAAUAUUUCACUCAUAUGGAGACGUCACCAUUGCCAGUGAAGGGGGCUGCAACAUUUAGGGCUAUGCUCGGCGCUUAUGGCCUUUGAGCAGGGAGGGAUAUUUAUCGUGACACACCUGCUGUGGCAUGGUACCUCGUUUUUUGCGGUCUCAUCCGAAGGACCGCCCCAUUUAGUCGCCUUUUACGACAAGCAAGGAGUAAUGAGGACCUAUUCUAACCCGGAUCCCUACGAAUGAAGUACUCGUAAUUCUUACCGAUGUGGCACUGGAGAGAACUGGGGUUAAUUCUGAAGGGGCACUUGAUGCACUGGCACAGACCUCCUCACCGUCAACUUCCACAGUGUUCCCAUCCGCAUCUCUCUCAAUAGGAAUCAAAUCCAGGCUUGCAAUAGCCGUGGCUUUAGAGCUUUUAAAAAUAAAUCACUUCUCUCAAGAAACUGUCUAAGAGUAACCUCAUUCUAAACACAAACUUGAGUGAUAUGGAAUUUGAAAUUGCAUUAAUACCUGCAGCUUGUGGUAUUGUAAAUUUUCUUCCUGGUUCUUUCCUCAGAAACAAUCCAAAUUUCCCCAGAAUUCUGCACUAGACCGCCUUUAAUUCUGGAGUUACUGAUCGACAAUUCCUUGAUAGAAGACUCGCUUGAGUCUAUCGUAACACCGUCAGAACACGCCGGUUCAGAGGCUUGAAAUGCUGCGUUAUAUGCAACAACUGUUAUAUGAUACGUAUUUUCCGAUGUCAUCGUUAUGCUUGCGUCAGUAGAUGUUGUGGUUUUAACCUGAAAUUGAAAGCAAAGAUUUCCCUAACCAUGGUAGGUAUAGUGAGAAUUGAUAAGAUUCAGUGAGGAAAUUAUGAAUAUCGUUACUGUUGUGCUACUGUUGGAAGUCAGGGAAAAGUUUGCUGACGUCAGACAUUCCGUGGAAAAUCCAUACUGGUAGAAACGGACACCGCUUUCUCUGUCAAAGAACCCCGACCAAUGAGCUUGGAGUGUCAUCCCUUGUUGAUAAUCAACCUCUUUCUGACCAACAGAACCGUCCAUAACAAACCCAGCAUGAGGUGGAGAUGUAUCAAUACUGAUCUAUUACCAAGAAUAAAGGACAGAAAACAUUGAGUAGUUUGUAGCUGAGCCUUGUUGGUAGCCACCACCUCUAUGAAAUAAUCUGCAUCAUGGACACCCCGAAGACCGUUGCUAGGUACAGUAGGCGUGACGACAAAAUGUUUGUGAAAGCAGCCGACAAAUGUUGUGCAGUAACAGUUUACUCCACGUGAGGCAUUCUGUGUGUCCCAUCGAAACCGGUAGAGCAAUUACAGUUGGUGGCAAGUUCAUCUUUACAGGUUCCGGGAUAGCACCUCGUACUGUCGCUUCUCCAGGAACAGGCCACUGAAAAGGGGGACAGUUGUAAUUAAAUGUAGAUAUCCAUGACAAUCACAUUGAUACCCCUUCCCAAUACGAACCAAUCAAACAAAACAUUCAUCUCACCUUGACAUGACUGGCCAUCGUCGGCAGCCGGGGUCAGCGCUCUGCCGUACACUUGAUUAACAACCGUACCCUCACACUGAACACAUUUGGCAUAGGUUCCAUUCGAACACUCCGUAUGCUCGCAUUUUGUUAUCUCGGCACAAACUGUAAGAAAUAUCAAAUUACUGUAUGACGAUCUGAACAAAUUCCUCUCAUUGAUUGUAUAUAUAGGGUAUGAUUCUAAACAUUUAACAUAAGUUUAAGGUACUCCUCCAUGAAAAAUUGUCUUCGAUAUAUACCACAUAUGAAAAUGAAGAAAAUGUAUGCUUUAGUACUGUACAGAUAUUUCUAUAUUUGAUAGCGCUUCUCACUUUUGCACUU
Long non-coding RNA from Ostrea edulis (European flat oyster), 3076 nucleotides. RefSeq lists it as uncharacterized. NCBI's taxonomy places the organism in Eukaryota, Metazoa, Mollusca, Bivalvia, Ostreida, Ostreidae. The transcript has 5 exons. The record is from RefSeq and is a predicted model, not a curated record.